This 29-nucleotide non-coding RNA is filed under the name Mus musculus (house mouse). The record is from RNAcentral. Lineage: Eukaryota; Metazoa; Chordata; Mammalia; Rodentia; Muridae.
UCUGACUACCUUGUUAUGACUAUGACUAC